GAUGAACGCUGGCGGCGUGCCUAAUACAUGCAAGUCGAGCGAACGGACGAGAAGCUUGCUUCUCUGAUGUUAGCGGCGGACGGGUGAGUAACACGUGGAUAACCUACCUAUAAGACUGGGAUAACUUCGGGAAACCGGAGCUAAUACCGGAUAAUAUUUUGAACCGCAUGGUUCAAAAGUGAAAGACGGUCUUGCUGUCACUUAUAGAUGGAUCCGCGCUGCAUUAGCUAGUUGGUAAGGUAACGGCUUACCAAGGCAACGAUGCAUAGCCGACCUGAGAGGUGGAUCGGCCACACUGGAACUGAGACACGGUCCAGACUCCUACGGGAGGCAGCAGUAGGGAAUCUUCGGCAAUGGGCGAAAGCCUGACGGAGCAACGCCGCGUGAGUGAUGAAGGUCUUCGGAUCGUAAAACUCUGUUAUUAGGGAAGAACAUAUGUGUAAGUAACUGUGCACAUCGUGACGGUACCCAAUCAGAAAGGCACGGCUAACUACGUG
Molecule: ribosomal RNA, 497 nt
Filed under: uncultured bacterium
Lineage: Bacteria
Description: partial 16S ribosomal RNA
Rfam family: Bacterial small subunit ribosomal RNA
Source: RNAcentral